CAAGUCCUGAUGUGUACGUUAUCUCAUCAAUUCGUUUUGACCGAACAAUUCUAUUAUUGGGAGCCUGCGUUUUUCUGCACCGUGCAUGCCUUUUGCGAGGACGCAUUAAGCAGAAAACAGGGCACCCACCUGCUGAGAGCGGGUUCAAAACAAUAGAUAUCCAAAGAGACGGCACGAUUGGGAUUUGC
Molecule: non-coding RNA, 188 nt
Filed under: Jeotgalibacillus campisalis
Lineage: Bacteria; Bacillati; Bacillota; Bacilli; Caryophanales; Caryophanaceae
Description: 6S / SsrS RNA
Rfam family: 6S / SsrS RNA
About the family: E. coli 6S RNA was the first non coding RNA to be sequenced, but its function was unknown until recently. It consists of 184 nucleotides that fold into an extended hairpin structure with a large single-stranded internal bulge.
Source: Rfam by way of RNAcentral